RNAcentral lists this ribosomal RNA (358 nucleotides) under Alloniscus oahuensis. RNAcentral describes it as "partial small subunit ribosomal RNA". The record is from RNAcentral. Lineage: Eukaryota; Metazoa; Arthropoda; Malacostraca; Isopoda; Alloniscidae.
CCACCUCCUUAAAAAAGCUGCACCUUGAUCUCAUUUUUUAAUUUAGCUUUUUCAGAUCUUCUAUAUAGAGAGGCCUAAAAGGACGGUAUACAAGCCUUAAAUAAGUAAGAAAUAAAGGGGAGUAUCUAAUUAAAGGGCAGAUUCCUCUGAGAACCCUACUUACCGCCAAGUCUUUUAGGUUUCAAGCUUAUACCAACUACUACCUUAAAAUAUUUACUCCUAAAAAUAAAAGGGUAUCUAAUCCUUGUCUCUGCUUUAGGUUUUAGAAAGAUUAGCUUAAGUCUCCUUUUAAGUAAAAAUUUUACCUUUUUUUAAGAGAAAUAUAUAAUUCUUUUUUUAAAGAAACUUCACCCCUCUA